CAGUAGCCACGGGAAUACAGAGGGUGCGAGCGUUAAUCGGAUUUACUGGGCGUAAAGCGUGCGUAGGCGGCUUUUUAAGUCGGAUGUGAAAUCCCUGAGCUUAACUUAGGAAUUGCAUUCGAUACUGGGAAGCUAGAGUAUGGGAGAGGAUGGUAGAAUUCCAGGUGUAGCGGUGAAAUGCGUAGAGAUCUGGAGGAAUACCGAUGGCGAAGGCAGCCAUCUGGCCUAAUACUGACGCUCAUGCACGAAAGCGUGGGGAGCAAACAGGAUUAGAUACCCCCGUAGUCCCUGUCUCUUAUAC
RNAcentral lists this ribosomal RNA (301 nucleotides) under uncultured bacterium. RNAcentral describes it as "partial 16S ribosomal RNA". It matches the Rfam family "Bacterial small subunit ribosomal RNA", at positions 509 to 807 of the family's 1533-position model. The record is from RNAcentral.